UUUAUACUCCCUCCGUCCCGAAUUACUUAUUGUAUAAAUGAAUAUAUCUAGACAUAAUUUUAGUUCUGCAUGCGUCCAUUUCUAUUCAUUUUUGUGACAAGUAACUCGGGACGGAGGAAGUACAUU
Triticum aestivum (bread wheat) is the source of this 126-nucleotide non-coding RNA. The record is from Rfam. Lineage: Eukaryota; Viridiplantae; Streptophyta; Magnoliopsida; Poales; Poaceae.